GUUGUUGGGUAGGGGAGCGUUCUGUAAGCCUGCGAAGGUGGCCUGUGAGGGUUGCUGGAGGUAUCAGAAGUGCGAAUGCUGACAUAAGUAACGAUAAAGCGGGUGAAAAGCCCGCUCGCCGGAAGACCAAGGGUUCCUGUCCAACGUUAAUCGGGGCAGGGUGAGUCGACCCCUAAGGCGAGGCCGAAAGGCGUAGUCGAUGGGAAACGGGUUAAUAUUCCCGUACUUGGUGUUACUGCGAAGGGGGGACGGAGAAGGCUAUGUUGGCCGGGCGACGGUUGUCCCGGUUUAAGCGUGUAGGUGUGUGUUCCAGGUAAAUCCGGUUCACUUUAACACUGAGGCGUGACGACGAGGCACUACGGUGCUGAAGCAACAAAUGCCCUGCUUCCAGGAAAAGCCUCUAAGCAUCAGGUAACAUCAAAUCGUACCCCAAACCGACACAGGUGGUCAGGUAGAGAAUACCAAGGCGCUUGAGAGAACUCGGGUGAAGGAACUAGGCAAAAUGGUGCCGUAACUUCGGGAGAAGGCACGCUGACACGUAGGUGAAGUGAUUUACUCAUGGAGCUGAAGUCAGUCGAAGAUACCAGCUGGCUGCAACUGUUUAUUAAAAACACAGCACUGUGCAAACACGAAAGUGGACGUAUACGGUGUGACGCCUGCCCGGUGCCGGAAGGUUAAUUGAUGGGGUCAGCGCAAGCGAAGCUCCUGAUCGAAGCCCCGGUAAACGGCGGCCGUAACUAUAACGGUCCUAAGGUAGCGAAAUUCCUUGUCGGGUAAGUUCCGACCUGCACGAAUGGCGUAAUGAUGGCCAGGCUGUCUCCACCCGAGACUCAGUGAAAUUGAACUCGCUGUGAAGAUGCAGUGUACCCGCGGCAAGACGGAAAGACCCCGUGAACCUUUACUAUAGCUUGACACUGAACAUUGAGCCUUGAUGUGUAGGAUAGGUGGGAGGCUUUGAAGCGUGGACGCCAGUCUGCGUGGAGCCGACCUUGAAAUACCACCCUUUAAUGUUUGAUGUUCUAACGUGGACCCGUGAUCCGGGUUGCGGACAGUGUCUGGUGGGUAGUUUGACUGGGGCGGUCUCCUCCUAAAGAGUAACGGAGGAGCACGAAGGUUGGCUAAUCCUGGUCGGACAUCAGGAGGUUAGUGCAAUGGCAUAAGCCAGCUUGACUGCGAGCGUGACGGCGCGAGCAGGUGCGAAAGCAGGUCAUAGUGAUCCGGUGGUUCUGAAUGGAAGGGCCAUCGCUCAACGGAUAAAAGGUACUCCGGGGAUAACAGGCUGAUACCGCCCAAGAGUUCAUAUCGACGGCGGUGUUUGGCACCUCGAUGUCGGCUCAUCACAUCCUGGGGCUGAAGUAGGUCCCAAGGGUAUGGCUGUUCGCCAUUUAAAGUGGUACGCGAGCUGGGUUUAGAACGUCGUGAGACAGUUCGGUCCCUAUCUGCCGUGGGCGCUGGAGAACUGAGGGGGGCUGCUCCUAGUACGAGAGGACCGGAGUGGACGCAUCACUGGUGUUCGGGUUGUCAUGCCAAUGGCACUGCCCGGUAGCUAAAUGCGGAAGAGAUAAGUGCUGAAAGCAUCUAAGCACGAAACUUGCCCCGAGAUGAGUUCUCCCUGAGACUUAGAGUCUCCUGAAGGAACGUUGAAGACGACGACGUUGAUAGGCCGGGUGUGUAAGCGCAGCGAUGCGUUGAGCUAACCGGUACUAAUGAACCGUGAGGCUUAACCUU
Molecule: ribosomal RNA, 1728 nt
Filed under: Salmonella enterica subsp. enterica serovar Braenderup str. ATCC BAA-664
Lineage: Bacteria; Pseudomonadati; Pseudomonadota; Gammaproteobacteria; Enterobacterales; Enterobacteriaceae
Description: bacterial LSU rRNA
Rfam family: Bacterial large subunit ribosomal RNA
Source: RNAcentral